RNAcentral lists this ribosomal RNA (455 nucleotides) under uncultured bacterium. RNAcentral's name for it is "bacterial SSU rRNA". It matches the Rfam family "Bacterial small subunit ribosomal RNA", at positions 28 to 478 of the family's 1533-position model. The record is from RNAcentral.
GAUGAACGCUAGCGGCAGGCUUAACACAUGCAAGUCGAGGGGUAGAGGAAGCUUGCUUCCUUGAGACCGGCGCACGGGUGCGUAACGCGUAUGCAACCUACCUUUUACAGAGGGAUAGCCCAGAGAAAUUUGGAUUAAUACCUCAUGGUAUAUAUCAUUCGCAUGUUUGAUAUAUUAAAGUUCCAACGGUAAAAGAUGGGCAUGCGUCCUAUUAGCUAGAUGGUAAGGUAACGGCUUACCAUGGCGACGAUGGGUAGGGGUCCUGAGAGGGAGAUCCCCCACACUGGUACUGAGACACGGACCAGACUCCUACGGGAGGCAGCAGUGAGGAAUAUUGGACAAAUGGGGCUCAAGGCCUGGAUCCAGCCAUGCCGCGUGCAGGAUGACGGUCCUAUGGAUUGUAAACUGCUUUUUGACAGGAAGAAACNCUCCCUCGUGAGGGAGCUUGACGGUAC